UGCAGAGUGUGCCCAGGCAUUGCUUUG
This 27-nucleotide non-coding RNA is filed under the name Rattus norvegicus (Norway rat). Lineage: Eukaryota; Metazoa; Chordata; Mammalia; Rodentia; Muridae. The record is from RNAcentral.